RNAcentral lists this ribosomal RNA (492 nucleotides) under uncultured bacterium. Its description in RNAcentral is "partial 16S ribosomal RNA". It matches the Rfam family "Bacterial small subunit ribosomal RNA", at positions 29 to 507 of the family's 1533-position model. The record is from RNAcentral.
AGUGAACGCUGGCGGUAGGCCUAACACAUGCAAGUCGAACGGCAGCACAGUAAGAGCUUGCUCUUAUGGGUGGCGAGUGGCGGACGGGUGAGGAAUAUAUCGGAAUCUACUUUUUCGUGGGGGAUAACGUAGGGAAACUUACUCUAAUACCGCAUACGCCCUUCGGGUGAAAGCAGGGGAUCUUCUGACCUUGCGCGAUUGAAUGAGCCGAUGUCGGAUUAGCUAGUUGGCGGGGUAAAGGCCCACCAAGGCGACGAUCCGUAGCUGGUCUGAGAGGAUGGUCGGCCACACUGGAACUGAGACACGGUCCAGACUCCUACGAGAGGCAGCAGUGGGGAAUAUUGGACAAUGGGCGCAAGCAUGAUCCAGCCAUACCGCGUGGGUGAAGAAGGCCUUCGGGUUGUAAAGCCCUUUUGUUGGGAAAGAAAAGCAGCAGGUUAAUACCCCGCUGUUCUGACGGUACCCAAAGAAUAAGCACCGGCUAACUUCGUG